RNAcentral lists this ribosomal RNA (2399 nucleotides) under Corynebacterium diphtheriae. RNAcentral's name for it is "bacterial LSU rRNA". It matches the Rfam family "Bacterial large subunit ribosomal RNA", at positions 1 to 2223 of the family's 2925-position model. The record is from RNAcentral. Lineage: Bacteria; Bacillati; Actinomycetota; Actinomycetes; Mycobacteriales; Corynebacteriaceae.
GUGUUGUUUGUUAAGGGCACACGGUGGAUGCCUUGGCAUUAUGAGCCGAUGAAGGACGUGUAAGGCCGCGAUAGGCCUCGGGGAGUUGCCAAUAGAGCGUUGAUCCGAGGGUGUCCGAAUGGGGAAACCUGGCCAUGGUUAUGUGUGGUUACCCAUCAGUGAAUUCAUAGCUGGUGUGGGGGUGACGCGGGGAAGUGAAACAUCUCAGUACCCGUAGGAGAAGAAAAUAAUUAAUGAUUCUGCUAGUAGUGGCGAACGAACGUGGAUGAGGCUAAACCGUAUGCGUGUGAUACCUGGCAGGGGUUGCGUGUGUGGUGUUGUGGGGCGUUGUUGGAGGAGGCUGCCGGCUCCUCGCUUGUUAUAUGUGUGUGUUAGCGGAAGUGGUUUGGAAUGGCCUGCCGUAGUGGGUGAGAGUCCCGUACGUGAAAACAUGUGCAUGCGAGUGGAUGAUGUUCCCGAGUAGCAGCGGGCUCGUGGAAUCUGCUGUGAAUCUGCCGGGACCACCCGGUAAGCCUAAAUACUUAUGAUGACCGAUAGCGGAUUAGUACCGUGAGGGAAUGGUGAAAAGUACCCCGGGAGGGGAGUGAAAUAGUACCUGAAACCGUGUGCUUACAAUCCGUCAGAGCCUUGUUUGUUAGGUGAUGGCGUGCCUUUUGAAGAAUGAGCCUGCGAGUCAGCGGCAUGUCGCGAGGUUAACCCGUGUGGGGUAGUCGUAGCGAAAGCGAAUCCUAAUGAGGGUGUUUUUAAGUGGCAUGUCCUGGACCCGAAGCGGGGUGAUCUACCCAUGGCCAGUGUGAAGCAGCUGUAAGAGGUUGUGGAGGCGCGAACCCACUUAGGUUGAAAACUGAGGGGAUGAGCUGUGGGUAGGGGUGAAAGGCCAAUCAAACUCCGUGAUAGCUGGUUCUCCCCGAAAUGCAUUUAGGUGCAGCGUUGUGUGUUUCUUGCUGGAGGUAGAGCUACUGGUUGGUUGAGCGGGACUACAAUCUUAGCAAUGUCAGCCAAACUCCGAAUGCCGGUAAUGUUAAGCAUGGCAGUGAGACUGCGGGGGAUAAGCUCCGUUGGUCGAGAGGGAAACAGCCCAGAUCGCCGGUUAAGGCCCCUAAGGGUGUACUAAGUGGAAAAGGAUGUGGGAUCGCGAAGACAGCCAGGAGGUUGGCUUAGAAGCAGCCAUCCUUGAAAGAGUGCGUAAUAGCUCACUGGUCGAGUGGUUCUGCGCCGACAAUGUAGUGGGGCUCAAGUACACCGCCGAAGCCGCGGCAGUCAACAAUUUUUUUGUUGGUUGGGUAGGGGAGCGUCGUGCACUGCUGUGAAGCACCUGGGUGACUUGAUGGUGUGGAGUGUGUGCGAGUGAGAAUGCAGGCAUGAGUAACGAAUGAAAAGUGGAAAACUUUUCCGCCGGAUGACUAAGGGUUCCUGGGUUAAGCUAAUCUUCCCAGGGUGAGUCGGGACCUAAGGCGAGGCCGACAGGCGUAGUCGAUGGAUAACCAGUUGAUAUUCUGGUACCCGUGUAUGUGCGCCCAGUGGUGAAUCAGUGGUACUAACCAUCCAUUGAUCUGCUGGUCAUGCUUUGUGUGUGGUUGGUGGUGAUGUGCGUGGGAUCUUCGUUGGUAGUAGCCAAGUGAUGGGGUGACGCAGUGAGGUAGCUGAGCCAUUUAUUGGAUUGUGGUGUAAGCGUGUGGCCCGUGGCAUAGGUAAAUCCGUGUUACAUAGUGGGUGAGGCGUGAUGCGUAGACCUUUGUGGUUGAUGUUGGUGAUCCUGUACUGUCGAGAAAAGCCUCUAGCGAGUGCAUAUAUGGCCCGUACCCAUAACCGACACAGGUGGUCAGGUAGAGAAUACUAAGGCGAUCGGGUGAACUGUGGUUAAGGAACUCGGCAAAUUGCCCCCGUAACUUCGGGAGAAGGGGGACCAUUGCUGGUGACCGACGUGGUUGAGCUGGUGGUGGUCGCAGAGAAUAGAGGGAAGCGACUGUUUAUUAAAAACACAGGUCCGUGCGAAAACGUGGAAGUUGAUGUAUACGGACUGACGCCUGCCCGGUGCUGGAAGGUUAAGAGGACCUGUUAGGGCAUUUUUUGUCCGAAGCGGAGAAUUUAAGCCCCAGUAAACGGCGGUGGUAACUAUAACCAUCCUAAGGUAGCGAAAUUCCUUGUCGGGUAAGUUCCGACCUGCACGAAUGGCGUAACGACUUCCCUGCUGUCUCAACCACAGGCCCGGUGAAAUUGCAGUACGAGUAAAGAUGCUCGUUACGCGCGGCAGGACGAAAAGACCCCGGGACCUUCACUAUAGCUUGGUAUUGGUGUUUGGUUCGGUUUGUGUAGGAUAGGUGGGAGACUGUGAAGUGGUCACGCUAGUGGUUGUGGAGUCGAAAGUUGAAAUACCACUCUGAUCGGAUUGAGCACCU